Paramisgurnus dabryanus is the source of this 436-nucleotide long non-coding RNA. RefSeq lists it as uncharacterized. NCBI's taxonomy places the organism in Eukaryota, Metazoa, Chordata, Actinopteri, Cypriniformes, Cobitidae. The record is from RefSeq and is a predicted model, not a curated record.
ACUAGCUGCGACAUCUAGUGACGACAUUUACCGGGCUUUAACGGUUGUUGCUGCAUGAAGUCUGCUGCAAUUUCUCUGAGAUUUCUCAAGAUCAUCAGUUUGGACAGAAUUCAUUUGAAGAAUUAAUAGCACUAGCAGGUUCCAAUAAAGGCUGGAACAGAACAGACAGAAAAGAAUCUGUCAGAAGAAAUUCAACUACUGUUCGUGCACCAGAUGGUGAAGUAGAAAAGUUCGUAAAAACUUCUGCAGCUUGCAUCUGACAGAGAUGCAAAAAGAAUAAGAGAGCGGGCCUGAAAACAAGCAAAUUCAAGUCUUUCCUUCUUUUAGGGUACACUUGAGGAGUGUCCAGAUGUUUAUUAAUGUUUUAUUAAUGUAAUGUUAUGUUUCAAAUAAACAUGUAAACAUACUGUAUAUUUUUCUUUUUUUUUAAACACCU